UCGUCCUCGGACGCAUCCGGUG
RNAcentral lists this small nuclear RNA (22 nucleotides) under Arabidopsis thaliana (thale cress). RNAcentral's name for it is "snRNA_16867". The record is from RNAcentral. Lineage: Eukaryota; Viridiplantae; Streptophyta; Magnoliopsida; Brassicales; Brassicaceae.